GGAAGUAAAAUCGCAACAAGGUUUCCGUAGGUGAACCUGCGGAAGGAUCAUUAUCGUACAAAAUGUGAGGGGCAUGCGAGGGCUGUCGCUGACCCAAAAGUCGUGCACGCCCGAGUGUGUCCUCUUGCAUAAUAAUCCAUCUCACCCUUUGUGCAUCACCGCGUGGGCACCCUUCGGGAUCAUCUCGGAGGGGGGCUCGCGUUUUCACACAAACCCCCCUUUUAAAAGUGUAGAAUGACCACAUUUAUGCAAUCAAUACAACUUUCAACAACGGAUCUCUUGGCUCUC
This 288-nucleotide unclassified non-coding RNA is filed under the name plant metagenome. RNAcentral describes it as "partial contains small subunit ribosomal RNA, internal transcribed spacer 1, and 5.8S ribosomal RNA". The stretch from base 1 to 53 matches the Rfam family "Eukaryotic small subunit ribosomal RNA", at positions 1778 to 1831 of the family's 1831-position model. The record is from RNAcentral.